Molecule: transfer RNA, 69 nt
Filed under: Otis tarda (great bustard)
Lineage: Eukaryota; Metazoa; Chordata; Aves; Otidiformes; Otididae
Description: tRNA-Ala
Rfam family: tRNA
About the family: Transfer RNA (tRNA) molecules are approximately 80 nucleotides in length. Their secondary structure includes four short double-helical elements and three loops (D, anti-codon, and T loops).
Source: RNAcentral
AAGGCUCUAGCUUAAUUAAAGCAUUUGGGUUGCAUUCAGAGGAUGAAGGUUAAUGUCCUUCGGGCCUUA